Molecule: long non-coding RNA, 287 nt
Filed under: Gallus gallus (chicken)
Lineage: Eukaryota; Metazoa; Chordata; Aves; Galliformes; Phasianidae
Source: RNAcentral
AGUGUAAGCAGCUAAGCAUAAAGAUUUCAUUCAUCUCGUUCAUUAAAAUUCAAAUAAUUAUAAAGUCAGAGAUGUUAACUUUUCAGUUAUUACAAUACAGCUGGCAAACAGAGACUGUUGUACCAACUGGGAGACUUGAAGCCUCAUCUUUGGUGGUCAGGAAGGCGCUGUUAUCCCAGGAGAUCCUAUAUGUGAGUCUCAGAGCCACCAAGGCCCGUAAGUGGGAUCUGGCUACCAUCUGCUUUGACUGGACCUCACAAUUAGUAAAGAACCAGAAUGGAUUACCA